GCAAAGAUUGAAGACUGGCACUGAGUUGUGUCCUCACACAGAGGGAAGGAGCAGACAGAGAAUUAGCAACAGAGAAACAGGCUCAAGGAGUAAAUCUGUCUGUUUAGAAGGCACGACGAGAGCAGGGCCAAAUCGUUAGUGGCUACGUUGAUGGAUAGUUAGUUACGCACUUCACACGGACGAGCGGCUCGAUUGACGAGCGAGACGGACGGCUCCACCGUCGCAGACCGGAGGGAAAGAGGCGGACACGAAGACGCAGCAGAGGUGGAGGUGCAAGCCCGUUAGCCUGCAGCAUGACAAGCAGUGUUGUGUAAGAGAGCCGGGGACCGUGUCGCACACAACCAGAGCUCUCCUGCGAAUGUGAUUGGAGAAACGCGCACAGAGAAAGACAAAGGAGACGGUGUCUUUAACGACUUAGCUGCAGGACGACGAGGGGAUUUGGAGACAUAUGUGGAAGAUACUGCAAUGAGCUGAAGGAACCCACAAAGUGACAGGACAAUGAUGUCAGGGGGUGAGCUGAGCAGUUUAGAGAAGGUCAGACAUACCCUAGAGUGGCUUCCGGCACCUGGCCUCAUCUUCACACCUGCACGUCAUCUGCACAGCUGUCUUCAAUCAAAUCAUCAAUUUCUUCCCGUUUAAACACCCCGGCGUCCCUCUCACCAGUCGCCAGAUGAUUUCACCGUUUCCACUGGAUUCCCGUGCCCGCACGCCUGCUCAGCCGCCCCGUCAUCGUUCAGUCUGCAUUCCCCUCCUGUUGUACCAUCUCAUCAGUGUAAAUUAACCCAUUACCUUCACCCAACCCUGUUGUCUGCGCUCGGGUCCGGCCGAAACCGAACCCUCGCAGAUAGUUUGUAUUAAAUGUUAGAAAAUAGCAUGCAAUGAAUGUUGUCAUCAUUUCAACAGCCAUAAAUACACAGCCUGUAA
Pseudoliparis swirei is the source of this 924-nucleotide long non-coding RNA. RefSeq lists it as uncharacterized. The transcript has 4 exons. The record is from RefSeq and is a predicted model, not a curated record. NCBI's taxonomy places the organism in Eukaryota, Metazoa, Chordata, Actinopteri, Perciformes, Liparidae.